AUGAGAUUAAAAUUAUUAAAUAUAAUUUUAUCAAUAAUAAAUAAACUUAAUAAUAAUAAUAAUAUUAUUAUUAAUAAUCUAUUAGAUUCAUUAAUAAAUAAGAAAUUAUUAUUAAAGAAUAUAUUAUUAGAUAUAAAUAAUAAAAAAAUAAAUAAUAUAAAAAGAAUAUUAAAUAAUAAUAAUAUAAACCCCGCGGGCGCCAAUCCGGUUGUUCACCGGAUUGGUCCCGCGGGGAAUAUUAAUAAUAAAUUACAACAUUUAAAUAAUAUAAAUAAUUGAAAUCUACAAAUUUAUAAUUAUAAUAAAAAUAUAGAAAUUAUAAAUACUAUAAAUGAUAAAUUAAUUAAUAAAUUAUUAUAUAAAAUAAUAACUUUAAAAUUAAAUAAUAUAAAUAUUAAUAAAAUUAUUAUAAGUAAACUUAUUAAUCAACAUAGUUUAAAUAAAUUAAAUAUUAAAUUUUAUUAUUAUAAUAAUGAUAUUAAUAAUAAUAAUAAUAAUAAUAAUAAUAAUUAUUAUAUAAAUAUAAUAAAUAAAUUAAUAAAUAUUAUAAAUAAUAAUAUAAAUAAUAAUUUAUGUAAUAUUUUAAGUUAUUAUUAUAAUAAAAAAGUAACUAUUGAACCUAUUAAAUUAUCAUAUAUUUAUUUAAAUAGUGAUAUUUUUAGUAAAUAUAUUAGUUUAAAUGAUAUAGAUAAAUAUAAUAAUGGUAUCUUAACUAAUUAUCAACGUAUAUUAAAUAAUAUUAUGCCUAAAUUAAAUGAUCAUAAUAUUUCUAUAAAUUAUAUUAAUAAUAUUAAUAAUAUUAAUAAUAAUAAAUAUAAUAAUAUAAUUAAUUUAUUAAAUAAUAAUAAUAAUAUUAAUAAUAAUAAUAAUUAUAAUAAUAAUAAUAAUAAUUAUAUUGGUAAUAUUAAUAAUAUUUAUAAUAAUAUAACUAUUGAUAAUAUUCCUAUAGAUAUUUUAAUAUAUAAAUAUUUAGUUGGUUGAUCUAUUAAAUUUAAAGGUAGAUUAAGUAAUAAUAAUGGUAGAACUAGUACACUUAAUUUAUUAAAUGGUACUUUUAAUAAUAAAAAAUAUUUAUGAAGUAAUAUUAAUAAUAAUUAUAAAUUAAAUUAUAUCCCUUCUAAUCAUAAUUUAUAUAAUAAUUCUAAUAUUAAUAAAAAUGGUAAAUAUAAUAUUAAAGUUAAAUUAAACUUUAUUUAA
RNAcentral lists this ribosomal RNA (1197 nucleotides) under Saccharomyces cerevisiae (brewer's yeast). Lineage: Eukaryota; Fungi; Ascomycota; Saccharomycetes; Saccharomycetales; Saccharomycetaceae. The record is from RNAcentral.